This 834-nucleotide long non-coding RNA is filed under the name Brachypodium distachyon (stiff brome). RNAcentral describes it as "long non-coding RNA (BDIS_LNC003108)". The record is from RNAcentral. Lineage: Eukaryota; Viridiplantae; Streptophyta; Magnoliopsida; Poales; Poaceae.
GCACGGGGAGCUGCGCAGGUGAGGAAGAGGCCGCGCAGGUCGCCGGCGCUCGGCCGCGCGGGGAAGAGGCAGCGUGCGCGCUGCUGCCCGCCUGCACAGGAGCCAACGGAGAGGAGAGCUCGUGGGGGAGAGAGAUGACAGAGAGAUAGGGGGAGAUAAGACAGAGAGAGAAAAGAGAUGUGGUUGGGAAGAGAGAUCGGGAGAGAUAAGAGAUUGAGAGAGAAAAGAGACCGGGGGAGAUAAACGGCCAGGAGCGCGACACGUCAUCGAUCCGUGGCGCGGUCACACGGAUCGGUGACGUGGCCAGGAGCUUUACCGGAGACUAGGCCGCCGGAAAAAGUAAUACAAUCUUUGCCGGAGGCUAGGCCGCCGGGAAAGUUUUUUUUUUCUUUUUUUUCUACAUGUAUAUAUUUGACGAGGUUUGUCCUAUUUUAAUUUUGUGCAUUGACCUAAAAAAUUUAUUCCAGGCUUGUAUACACAUAACAUGGUAACUUACCAAAACUUGCUAAUUUUAGAUAAAGUUUUAGUAUUAUUUCAUAUUUUCCUAAUAAACGGCUCUAAAAAAUGAAAAAUAAUUAUUUUUACAUAGAGAGUGAUGAUUUUAAUUCACAUUACUCAUCAUUAGCACUAAAUGAAACCAUAGUAAAAGAAUAUACUCAAAAAGUGAAAAAACAUAUUGCAAAACUUGGUUCGGUACUCAAAUUGGACGUUCGGGUGCUAAGUUUGGGAACUUAUACGUAGAUGUCGCAAUUUGUGAAUCAUGUACCAUUUUUAUUUUUUAUUUGUACCUGUAAUUUUUACCACAAGUUUAUAUACCCAUAAAACGACACCAUG